AUUGAACGCUGGCGGCAUGCUUUACACAUGCAAGUCGAGCGGCAGCGCGGGGGCAACCCUGGCGGCGAGCGGCGGACGGGUGAGUAAUACAUCGGAACGUACCCUGGAGUGGGGGAUAACGCCGCGAAAGCGGCGCUAAUACCGCAUAUGCUCUGAGGAGGAAAGUGGGGGACCUGCAAGGGCCUCAUGCUCUGGGAGCGGCCGAUGUCCGAUUAGCUAGUUGGUGGGGUAAAGGCUUACCAAGGCGACGAUCGGUAGCUGGUCUGAGAGGAUGAUCAGCCACACUGGGACUGAGACACGGCCCAGACUCCUACGGGUGGCUG
This 323-nucleotide ribosomal RNA is filed under the name uncultured Pseudomonadota bacterium. RNAcentral's name for it is "bacterial SSU rRNA". It matches the Rfam family "Bacterial small subunit ribosomal RNA", at positions 28 to 351 of the family's 1533-position model. Lineage: Bacteria; Pseudomonadati; Pseudomonadota. The record is from RNAcentral.